AAAAGGUUACCCCACCGACUUUGGGUGUUACAAACUCUCAUGGUGUGACGGGCGGUGUGUACAAGGCCCGGGAACGUAUUCACCGCGGCAUGCUGAUCCGCGAUUACUAGCGAUUCCGACUUCAUGUAGGCGAGUUGCAGCCUACAAUCCGAACUGAGAAUGGCUUUAAGAGAUUAGCUUACUCUCGCGAGUUCGCAACUCGUUGUACCAUCCAUUGUAGCACGUGUGUAGCCCAGGUCAUAAGGGGCAUGAUGAUUUGACGUCAUCCCCACCUUCCUCCGGUUUGUCACCGGCAGUCUCACCAGAGUGCCCAACUUAAUGCUGGCAACUGAUAAUAAGGGUUGCGCUCGUUGCGGGACUUAACCCAACAUCUCACGACACGAGCUGACGACAACCAUGCACCACCUGUAUCCAUGUCCCCGAAGGGAACGUCUAAUCUCUUAGAUUUGCAUAGUAUGUCAAGACCUGGUAAGGUUCUUCGCGUAGCUUCGAAUUAAACCACAUGCUCCACCGCUUGUGCGGGCCCCCGUCAAUUCCUUUGAGUUUCAGCCUUGCGGCCGUACUCCCCAGGCGGAAUGCUUAAUGCGUUAGCUGCAGCACUGAAGGGCGGAAACCCUCCAACACUUAGCAUUCAUCGUUUACGGUAUGGACUACCAGGGUAUCUAAUCCUGUUUGCUACCCAUACUUUCGAGCCUCAGCGUCAGUUACAGACCAGACAGCCGCCUUCGCCACUGGUGUUCUUCCAUAUAUCUACGCAUUUCACCGCUACACAUGGAGUUCCACUGUCCUCUUCUGCACUCAAGUUUCCCAGUUUCCGAUGCACUUCUUCGGUUGAGCCGAAGGCUUUCACAUCAGACUUAAAAAACCGCCUGCGCUCGCUUUACGCCCAAUAAAUCCGGACAACGCUUGCCACCUACGUAUUACCGCGGCUGCUGGCACGUAGUUAGCCGUGGCUUUCUGGUUAAAUACCGUCAAUACCUGAACAGUUACUCUCAGAUAUGUUCUUCUUUAACAACAGAGUUUUACGAGCCGAAACCCUUCUUCACUCACGCGGCGUUGCUCCAUCAGACUUUCGUCCAUUGUGGAAGAUUCCCUACUGCUGCCUCCCGUAGGARUUUGGGCCGUGUCUCAGUCCCAAUGUGGCCGAUUACCCUCUCAGGUCGGCUACGUAUCAUUGCCAUGGUGAGCCGUUACCCCACCAUCUAGCUAAUACGCCCGGGGACCUUCCAAAAGGGAUAGCCGAAGCCAUCUUUCAAGCUCGGAACAGGCGGCCCAAGUUGUUAUGCGGGAUUAGCACUGUUUUCCAGGGGUUACCCCCGCUUUUGGGGGAGGUUUCCCACGGGUACUCCCCAGUUCCCCCCCUCCCCAAUGGUAAAUUGGGGGGGGCCCCACCUAAACCAAAGUUUUUUCCAUUCGGGUU
RNAcentral lists this ribosomal RNA (1420 nucleotides) under Lactiplantibacillus plantarum. RNAcentral describes it as "partial 16S ribosomal RNA". The record is from RNAcentral. Lineage: Bacteria; Bacillati; Bacillota; Bacilli; Lactobacillales; Lactobacillaceae.